Molecule: long non-coding RNA, 536 nt
Filed under: Homo sapiens (human)
Lineage: Eukaryota; Metazoa; Chordata; Mammalia; Primates; Hominidae
Description: HSALNT0013089
Source: RNAcentral
GAAUAAAUACAUGAAGAGAUAUUCAACCUCAGCUUGUUAACAUAGGGAAUUGGAAACAAUUAGACAGUCACUUACAUAUUUGAUAAAAAUGUAUUGAGCCCUACUUUGCACUUGUAAACCAAAAAUAAAAUUCUAAGGCCCCACCCACCCAUCUGAAUGGACUCCUUCUCUUGGCCAAGGACAUUCCAAAGUUAGCCUGAAAAACCAGUUUUAGGCCAUGGUAGGAAGGGGGAGCCAGACAUGCCUCAUUACACUGUCCUCUCUUUUGGAAUUACUGAUAGAACAAACUCUUUAAGUCCGAUACAGUUUAUUCUCUCUGAAGCUUGCUACCUGGAGGCAUCAUCUGCAUGAUAAAACCUUGAUCUCCACAACCCCUUAUUAUAAUCCAGAUGUUCCUUUUCAUUGAUAGUAACUCAACCAAUUGCCAGUCAGAAAAUCUUUGAAUUUGCCUGUUACUUGGAAGCCCCCUACAUCCAGUUGUCCCACCUUUCUAGAACAAACCAAUGUACAUCUUACAUGUAUUGACUGAUGUAUCA